Molecule: ribosomal RNA, 471 nt
Filed under: uncultured bacterium
Lineage: Bacteria
Description: bacterial SSU rRNA
Rfam family: Bacterial small subunit ribosomal RNA
Source: RNAcentral
GACGAACGCUGGCGGCGUGCCUAACACAUGCAAGUCGAGCGGGGUUGAAGCGAGGGGUAACUCGAACUUCUACCUAGCGGCGGACGGGUGAGUAACGCGUGGGCAACCUGCCUCAAGGUCUGGGAUAACAGCUCGAAAGGGCUGCUAAUACCGGAUAUGCCUAUAGCCUCGCAUGGGGCUAUGAGCAAAGGGGAAACCCGCCUUGAGAUGGGCCCGCGUCCCAUCAGCUAGUUGGUGAGGUGAAGGCUCACCAAGGCGACGACGGGUAGCCGGCCUGAGAGGGUGACCGGCCACACUGGGACUGAGACACGGCCCAGACUCCUACGGGGGGCAGCAGUGGGGAAUCUUGCACAAUGGGCGAAAGCCUGAUGCAGCGACGCCGCGUGAGCGAAGAAGGCCUGGUUGUAAGCUCUGUCUGGAGGGACGAAGAAAGUGACGGUACCUCCGGAGGAAGCCACGGCUAACUACGUG